GCUCUGUGGGAUCAGUGGCGAACGGGUGAGUAACACGUGAGCAACCUGCCCCUGACUCUGGGAUAAGCGCUGGAAACGGCGUCUAAUACUGGAUAUGUGACGUGACCGCAUGGUCUGCGUUUGGAAAGAUUUUUCGGUUGGGGAUGGGCUCGCGGCCUAUCAGCUUGUUGGUGAGGUAAUGGCUCACCAAGGCGUCGACGGGUAGCCGGCCUGAGAGGGUGACCGGCCACACUGGGACUGAGACACGGCCCAGACUCCUACGGGAGGCAGCAGUGGGGAAUAUUGCACAAUGGGCGCAAGCCUGAUGCAGCAACGCCGCGUGAGGGAUGACGGCCUUCGGGUUGUAAACCUCUUUUAGCAGGGAAGAAGCGAAAGUGACGGUACCUGCAGAAAAAGCGCCGGCUAACUACGUGCCAGCAGCCGCGGUAAUACGUAGGGCGCAAGCGUUAUCCGGAAUUAUUGGGCGUAAAGAGCUCGUAGGCGGUUUGUCGCGUCUGCUGUGAAAUCCCGAGGCUCAACCUCGGGCCUGCAGUGGGUACGGGCAGACUAGAGUGCGGUAGGGGAGAUUGGAAUUCCUGGUGUAGCGGUGGAAUGCGCAGAUAUCAGGAGGAACACCGAUGGCGAAGGCAGAUCUCUGGGCCGUAACUGACGCUGAGGAGCGAAAGGGUGGGGAGCAAACAGGCUUAGAUACCCUGGUAGUCCACCCCGUAAACGUUGGGAACUAGUUGUGGGGUCCAUUCCACGGAUUCCGUGACGCAGCUAACGCAUUAAGUUCCCCGCCUGGGGAGUACGGCCGCAAGGCUAAAACUCAAAGGAAUUGACGGGGACCCGCACAAGCGGCGGAGCAUGCGGAUUAAUUCGAUGCAACGCGAAGAACCUUACCAAGGCUUGACAUAUACGAGAACGGGCCAGAAAUGGUCAACUCUUUGGACACUCGUAAACAGGUGGUGCAUGGUUGUCGUCAGCUCGUGUCGUGAGAUGUUGGGUUAAGUCCCGCAACGAGCGCAACCCUCGUUCUAUGUUGCCAGCACGUAAUGGUGGGAACUCAUGGGAUACUGCCGGGGUCAACUCGGAGGAAGGUGGGGAUGACGUCAAAUCAUCAUGCCCCUUAUGUCUUGGGCUUCACGCAUGCUACAAUGGCCGGUACAAAGGGCUGCAAUACCGUGAGGUGGAGCGAAUCCCAAAAAGCCGGUCCCAGUUCGGAUUGAGGUCUGCAACUCGACCUCAUGAAGUCGGAGUCGCUAGUAAUCGCAGAUCAGCAACGCUGCGGUGAAUACGUUCCCGGGUCUUGUACACACCGCCCGUCAAGUCAUGAAAGUCGGUAACACCUGAAGCCGGUGGCCUAACCCUUGUGGAGGGAGCCGUCGAAGG
Molecule: ribosomal RNA, 1371 nt
Filed under: Microbacteriaceae bacterium
Lineage: Bacteria; Bacillati; Actinomycetota; Actinomycetes; Micrococcales; Microbacteriaceae
Description: bacterial SSU rRNA
Rfam family: Bacterial small subunit ribosomal RNA
Source: RNAcentral